AGAGUUUGAUCCUGGCUCAGAACGAACGUUAGCGGCGCGCUUAACACAUGCAAGUCGAACGCGUGAGAGCUUGCUCUCACGAGUGGCGCACGGGUGAGUAACACGUGAGUAACCUGCCCCGGACUCUGGGAUAACUUCGGGAAACCGGAGCUAAUACCGGAUAUGACCCUCGCCUGCAUGGGCUGGGGGUGGAAAGUUUUUCGGUCUGGGAUGGGCUCGCGGCCUAUCAGCUUGUUGGUGAGGUAGUGGCUCACCAAGGCGACGACGGGUAGCCGGCCUGAGAGGGCGACCGGCCACACUGGGACUGAGACACGGCCCAGACUCCUACGGGAGGCAGCAGUGGGGAAUAUUGCACAAUGGGCGCAAGCCUGAUGCAGCGACGCCGCGUGGGGGAUGACGGCCUUCGGGUUGUAAACCUCUUUCAGCAGGGAAGAAGCGUGAGUGACGGUACCUGCAGAAGAAGCACCGGCUAACUACGUGCCAGCCGCCGCGGUAAUUC
RNAcentral lists this ribosomal RNA (499 nucleotides) under uncultured bacterium. RNAcentral describes it as "bacterial SSU rRNA". It matches the Rfam family "Bacterial small subunit ribosomal RNA", at positions 8 to 526 of the family's 1533-position model. The record is from RNAcentral.